CUUUAAAUUGCAAUUUACGGAAGUAUAGCCACCUUUACGUCUUUCAGGGGAGUGGCUGGUUCCUUUUACUUGACACAGCAACUUCUGAAGCCUGCUUGGCUCUGGAGAAUGAGCCUUCUUCCAUCUGUGUGUGGAACGAGAGAGCAGGACAGAAGGAGAGGUGUUCGCCAAGAACACUCAACAGGAGCAGUUGAAGAAGGACCAGGGAGGAAGGAAGAGUGAGCAGCAAGGAGGAGGGACUGAAAAGAGAGAGGACCCCAGAAGCAUGCCUGGAGGAAAAGGGGGGAUGAGGAGAACUGCCAGAGGCAGCCAGGCCAGGGCUGGGCAGACAGGGUUGACUAGGAUCCACCUGAAUUUACCUGCUUGGCCAGGUAGCCUCAAACCUCAGUGAAAGUCAGUGGUGCCCAAUCACUUUUUGAGAGUAGAGUUCGGAAGUCUUAAUUAGGGAUGCGGAGAGGGGGAGAUCUUAGAUCAAUGUGGGGAGAAGAGAAGGAAACAGCCAUGAGAAUUGGAAUGUGAAUGAGGGGGAGAAUUCAGCAGGAGGUUGCCAGGUGGCAGGUGACAGUGUUCCCUGGGCACUCAGUCAGUGCUGGGGUGUUGGGGUCAGUUUCCUGCCGACCGGGAGGAGGGUCCAGCCCGUUUUCUAGACUGUAAUAGGAAUGAGGCUGGCAGGUUUGGGUGCCCCAGGAACCUGAUCCUUGACUUCUGGAGAGAAAGACCCAGAAAAGAAGGAAAGAAGAAAGUGCCCAAGACAUCUAAUUAGACUCAGCCUCUGACGCUCACUGGAACCCACCUGAAUCAGCUGCUCCCCAGAAGAAGAUUACUACACACAAGGUGGACUGACCCAGGCCGCUCCUUGGCCCAGAUCUGCAGUUUAGACCCCACCCUGUCAUCAGCUGCCUUGAAGUGGUCUUACAAUCAUGUCCCUGCAGUGCCUGUGGCAGGCAUCAUGCAAGUUGCCCUUGAAGAUACCCAGAUGUCUUGGUGACAGGUUCCUGACCACCUGGAUGAGAGGUGGGCCAUCAGAUCGAUAUCACACAGGGGCCGUGAGCCCAGACUGCAGGCAUGUGCAUGUGAGGUUGGAGGUGGUGGAAAGAAGGCAGAUCCUUUGGCUACGCCCAAAGUGCCUGGCAACAAAGAGUGUCCAGCUCACAUUUCAAAUCUUUCCUUUCCUCUUCUUUCUCCUUCCUCACUGGCUACGGCCAUCCAUAAAGAGCUCCAAGCCCUCAUGCAUAGAGGGUGUUCAAUGAGUGGGGAAGGCCCAGUCUGUGCUGGAGGGACAGCUGCCUCCACGUUCAGAGACCUGCAGCUCGUAAGACAAAGUUUGUCCCCCAGCUGUUUCUUCAUCAUCACCCGGUAUCCCUUGAAAUUUGCUGACUCUUCAUUUUCGUGGUGAGGGGCCUUAUAUUCUGGUUGGAAGGGAGGACGGGGGGAUAGGAAGGAUUGUGAGAAACGUGGUUCUCUAUUUUCAGAAUAAAGAACUUCAGCCUCUCCACUUCCCCAAGUGAGGCUUUCCCUACAGGCACAUUUUCUGGUUCAGAGGCUGCCCAAGAAGGACAGUGAGGGUCAUUUCAAAUCACAUCUCGUUGCUCUCUGAGACCUGGCUUCCCAGAGAUAAGGCGUGGUCGUCUGGAAAGGAGCCUGUUGGAUAGGCGAAGUUCUGCUGGACCACAUUCCAAGGAACUCGUCUGACACUCCACUCUUCUGAGAUUGGCUCCCAUUAGCAGUUACUGGAAACAAGCAGGUUGUCAACAGGGCACGGCCAGGAGUGUGGUGUGUAGUAGAGCGUUUCAUGGGGUAGACCACUGAUGAGGUGCAGACAUGAACCCAGAAGUCCAGCAAGGCAGCAGCGAUGGGCCUGAUAGGGUCUGAGGAUUUCUCCUCCAGGAGCUCCUGGCCGGGCCAGGGCUCCUCUGUCGGUUUGCUCAGCAUCGACAGAGCCCAGCUCGAGACUUAGAUUCUUGAUCCGUCAGAGAUGCACGGCAACUCAACUGCAGAAAGCAGGGUGGGGAAGCUGUAUUACAAGUCAUAACAAGUUCACUGGAAACAUGGGCCAGAUGCUUGCUUCUAAAAAGAAAUGCUCCUCUCAAAGCAGGGCUCUUUCGAGUGCACCCCGAGAUGUGCCUGGGUGGGUCCUUCCUCUGUGUCUUUCUGUCUAUGCCAGGGUCUCGAUGUCUGUAGCCACUGUGAGACACACCCCUGCUAAGAGACUGCUUACAGCAGGGCCGCGCAUCCUUUCUGAG
This 2243-nucleotide long non-coding RNA is filed under the name Equus caballus (horse). Its description in RNAcentral is "lncRNA (ENSECAG00000046254.1)". The record is from RNAcentral. Lineage: Eukaryota; Metazoa; Chordata; Mammalia; Perissodactyla; Equidae.